Molecule: ribosomal RNA, 272 nt
Filed under: uncultured Ascomycota
Lineage: Eukaryota; Fungi; Ascomycota
Description: partial 18S ribosomal RNA
Rfam family: Eukaryotic small subunit ribosomal RNA
Source: RNAcentral
UUGGAGGGCAAGUCUGGUGCCAGCAGCCGCGGUAAUUCCAGCUCCAAUAGCGUAUAUUAAAGUUGUUGUGGUUAAAAAGCUCGUAGUUGAAUCUUGGGCCUGGCUGGCCGGUCCGCCUCACCGCGUGUACUGGUCCGGCCGGGUCUUUCACUCUGCGGAACCACAUGCCCUUCAGUGGGUGUGGCGGGGAAGCAGGACUUUUACUUUGAAAAAAUUAGAGUGCUCUAAGCAGGCCAAUGCUCGAAUACAUUAGCAUGGAAUAAUAAAAUAGG